ACGGAAGGCAGCAGUGAGGAAUAUUGGUCAAUGGACGGAAGUCUGAACCAACCAAGUCGCGUGAAGGAUGAAGGUAUUAUGUAUUGUAAACUUCUUUAGCAGUGGAGUAAUAAGGGGAUCGCGAUCCCUGAUGCAAGUACACUGAGAAUAAGGAUCGGCUAACUCCGUGCCAGCAGCCGCGGUAAUACGGAGGAUCCGAGCGUUAUCCGGAUUUAUUGGGUUUAAAGGGUGCGCAGGCGGCUUUUUAAGUCAGUGGUUAAAUCGUGACGCUCAACGUCAUCACGCCAUUGAUACUGGAGAGCUUGAUUGCGGUCGAGGUUUGCGGAAUUCGUUGUGUAGCGGUGAAAUGCAUAGAUAUGACGAAGAACACCGAUUGCGUAGGCAGCAGACCAGGCCGUAAAUGACGCUCAUGCACGAAAGUGCGGGGAUCGAACAGGAUUAGAUACCCUGGUA
This 453-nucleotide ribosomal RNA is filed under the name uncultured Porphyromonadaceae bacterium. RNAcentral's name for it is "partial 16S ribosomal RNA". It matches the Rfam family "Bacterial small subunit ribosomal RNA", at positions 341 to 792 of the family's 1533-position model. The record is from RNAcentral. Lineage: Bacteria; Pseudomonadati; Bacteroidota; Bacteroidia; Bacteroidales; Porphyromonadaceae.